RNAcentral lists this ribosomal RNA (253 nucleotides) under uncultured bacterium. RNAcentral's name for it is "partial 16S ribosomal RNA". It matches the Rfam family "Bacterial small subunit ribosomal RNA", at positions 524 to 776 of the family's 1533-position model. The record is from RNAcentral.
UACGUAGGGUGCAAGCGUUAAUCGGCACUACUGGGCGUAAAGCGUGCGCAGGCGGUUUUGUAAGUCUGUCGUGAAAUCCCCGGGCUCAACCUGGGAAUGGCGAUGGAGACUGCAAGGCUGGAAUCUGGCAGAGGGGGGUAGAAUUCCACGUGUAGCAGUGAAAUGCGUAGAGAUGUGGAGGAACACCGAUGGCGAAGGCAGCCCCCUGGGCUAAGAUUGACGCUCAUGCACGAAAGCGUGGGGAGCAAACAGG